This 500-nucleotide ribosomal RNA is filed under the name uncultured bacterium. RNAcentral's name for it is "bacterial SSU rRNA". It matches the Rfam family "Bacterial small subunit ribosomal RNA", at positions 8 to 497 of the family's 1533-position model. The record is from RNAcentral.
AGAGUUUGAUCCUGGCUCAGAUUGAACGCUGGCGGCAGGCCUAACACAUGCAAGUCGGGCGGUAACAGGGAGAAGCUUGCUUCUCUGCUGACGAGCGGCGGACGGGUGAGUAAUGUAUGGGGAUCUGCCUGAUGGAGGGGGAUAACUACUGGAAACGGUAGCUAAUACCGCAUAAUGUCUCCGGACCAAAGCGGGGGACCUUCGGGCCUCGCACCAUCAGAUGAACCCAUAUGGGAUUAGCUAGUAGGUGAGGUAAUGGCUCACCUAGGCGACGAUCUCUAGCUGGUCUGAGAGGAUGAUCAGCCACACUGGGACUGAGACACGGCCCAGACUCCUACGGGAGGCAGCAGUGGGGAAUAUUGCACAAUGGGCGCAAGCCUGAUGCAGCCAUGCCGCGUGUAUGAAGAAGGCCUUAGGGUUGUAAAGUACUUUCAGUCGGGAGGAAGGUGUUGAGUUUAAUAUACUCAGCAAUUGACGUUACCGACAGAAGAAGCACCGGC